RNAcentral lists this long non-coding RNA (2141 nucleotides) under Olea europaea subsp. europaea. Lineage: Eukaryota; Viridiplantae; Streptophyta; Magnoliopsida; Lamiales; Oleaceae. The record is from RNAcentral.
AACACAUACUAGAGCCGGCUGAGAGGGAGAGAAACCGAGAAGAAUUGAGAAAGAGGUAGAGAAAAGGAAAACAAGAUGGAGAAAAGAAGAAAGAAAAGGAAGAAGAAGAAGAAGAAGAAGAAGGAAGAGGAAGAAAAAAUGAUGGCAAUACCAACAUGGUCCUUAAAGUUCUUCCUUAAUUUCUUCAGGUUAGUAAAAGAUGUAUUUAUGGAAAAUAAUUCUUGAAUUUAAGGUUUGUAAACAAUUACUCAUGUUUAAAGUUUGACAAUAAUUAAAGAUUAUGAAUAUGUAUUUGAGGUUAUAACUAAACUAUGGCAGAGAAAUAUGUAAUUGUCAAUUAGUGUCGAAGAAAGUGGAAUUUGAGAUGGGUUUGUGAAAGAAAUACAUAUUAUUUGAAAUUCUUGGGACUAUAUGAUGUUAAACACUUAAAUUAAGGAUUUGAUGUUGAAAUUCUCCAUUUUUUCUAAAGAAAUUUUCGGGUUAAGUAAUGAAGGUGCUAUUUAAGAAAUUUUCCCAGAAACGUGUUAUUUCUAUCCAUAUUUUGGUACACAGUUUUCAAUAUACAGAAUUUCGUGUCAUAAUUCAAUAUUGUGGAACUUUAGUGCCAUUUUUGUCAAACAAAUGUUGAAGCCUAUGUAUUGGACUAAAUUAUAUACAGGGGUUGUAUAUAAAGUAUUGGACUAAAUUAUAUAUAGGGGUUGUGUAUAUAAAAGCUAAGUUAUACCAUUUUUAAUAAACCCUAGAAUUUUUAAUUACAUUCUAGAGUAAAGAUAGUUUGGGAAAAUGAUAGUUAUCACAAAAUAUUCACUUGGAAGAAUGGUUAUAUGGAACAAAAUGUAAAUUUAAUUGGUUGAAUUAUGGUUAUUAGUUUUGCUAGAUUGAAAGAUGGGAUAAUUAUUUUCAUGAUUAGAAUAAAGGUAUUCUGAUGAAUUAGCUAUUAGAAAAUGGAGUAGAAAAUGGAAUUAGCUUAAAGUGAUUAAAGGAAAUUGGGGAAAAUUAUUCAAGUAUCGAGAAAUCAAGUUUUAGAUACGAUCAUCAAUAUUUAAAACUACUUAGCAGGAUAGUGUUUAAAUUAGUUAUUUUACAUUGUCUUUCAGGUGAUGGCCAAGAGAUGGGGAAAAUUUGUCGACCAUCAUAACCACUAGCUUGUUUAGAGUAAGUGGAAAUAAAACUUAUUUUUUCAGAAAUAAGUAUUUAUUGAAUUUUGAAGUUACGAAUUUUAUAAGUUGAGUUGAUAGCAUGAUUUUUCAUAAUAAAAUGAAUUUUAUUAUCAAAUGUUUUUAAAGGUUAAAUUCAAUUCAGUUAAAUUAUUUCAUUGGCAUAUUAUUUCAGUAUUAAAAUUUUUAGCAUAUUUAACGUUAUUAUUUAAAAUCACCAGAAAGUGCCCAUGUGAUUUUACCCGCUUUACACUGGUGUGAAUGUAUUUUCUUAGUUUAUGACCAGUUAUGGUGAUUUUACCCGCUCUGCACUAUUGUGAAUGUGUUUCCAUAGUGUAUGACAAGAUAGCUCUGUGCGCGUAUGACCAGAAUUUCAGAAUUAAAUAACUUUACCAUGUAUAUCGGUACUAAUCGAUACAUGAGUAAGGUUAUUCCGAGGUAUCAUUUUGGGUGAUUUUCCAGUAUUAUACAGCUAAUUAGAUUUUAGACUACAAAAUUUAGCUUAUUCAGUUUUCAGAGUAAUGAUUUAUUUAUAUUUAUUAUACCUUACAGCUGCUUAUCUAGAAUUAAGAACAAAGAAUUUUAUGAUACAAUAAUGUUUAGUUUUAAAAGUGUUACUAAAUUUCAGAAUUUCUCAAGGUUUUAAUAGAGCAAGAAUUUUCAGAAAAUAUGUAUAAAUGGAUAAAAUAUACUCAUUUGCAAAUUAUCUACUCACUGAGCUAUAAGCUCAUAUAUUUUGUAAUCCCUUUUCUUUUCAGAUAGUAGCUGAAUUGAGUAGCGAUAGAGCCUGUUGAUUUGCCAAAUUGAGCAACGCAUUAUCAUUAGUUGUAUAACUUGUUUUUUUCUUUUUUAUAUAUUUCAUUUACUAGAAUACAUGCAUCUCUUGUUGAAAAGCAUAUUCAUAUUACGAUUUCGUUGCAAUUUUGUAAAUGUUGUACAAUUUGGAGUCUUUUGACUUGUUAAGAAGUAUAGAUUUCAUUCAUG